AACGAACGCUGGCGGCGUGGAUAAGACAUGCAAGUCGAACGCGAGUUUAUUUAUAGCAAUAUGAGUGAACUUGAGUGGCGAAAGGGUGCGUAACACGUAGCUUACCUACCUUGAAGCGGGGGAUAGCUCGGCGAAAGCCGAAUUAAUACCGCAUGUGGUCGUAAGACUAAAGUUGGGGAUCGUAAGACCUGACACUUCAAGAUGGGGCUGCGGCCUAUCAGCUAGUUGGUGAGGUAACGGCUCACCAAGGCUUAGACGGGUAGCUGGUCUGAGAGGACGACCAGCCACACUGGAACUGAGACACGGUCCAGACACCUACGGGUGGCAGCAGUCGAGGAUUUUUCUCAAUGGGGGAAACCCUGAAGGAGCGACGCCGCGUGAGGGAUGAAGGUCUUCGGAUUGUAAACCUCUGUCAUCUGGGAACAAAGCGCUCCACCUAAUACGUGGAUUGUUGAUAGUACCGGAAGAGGAAGCAGUGGCUAACUCUGUGC
RNAcentral lists this ribosomal RNA (491 nucleotides) under uncultured bacterium. RNAcentral's name for it is "bacterial SSU rRNA". It matches the Rfam family "Bacterial small subunit ribosomal RNA", at positions 29 to 508 of the family's 1533-position model. The record is from RNAcentral.